CAGUGGCAGGAUCUCAGCUGCAACCUCCACCUCCCAGACUCAAGGGAGCUUCCCAGCCUCCCAAAUAGCUGGGACUACAGGUGUGCACCACCACACCUGGCUAAUUCUUUGAAUUUUUUUGGUAGAGACUGGGUUUUGCUAUGUUGCCUAGGCUGGUCUUGAACUAAUAGGCUCAAGCAGUCCAACUGCCUCAGCCUCCCAAAGAUUUGGGAUUACAGGCGUGAGCCAUCAGGCCGAGCAUUCAUACUUACUUUUGAAUAAUGAGUUUCGGAAACUAUAGAGAUUUAGCUACAAAGUUAAUUCUCCCUCAACACUUUACAAAAUAUUGCACCAAUACCUUCAAUUGUUCGUUGUUGAUUAUAAGGAAUCUGUCGUGACACGUACUUCAGAAUUCACAAGGCAACAGGAAAAAAAAAGGUUCAUGAGGGAAGAAAACCAAGUGAAUAACCCAGGAAAGUUGGUGAACUGUGACAUGUGUUGGACUCAUGUGAACCAUGAAUAUGUCGUAGGACAUGAUAAAAAAGAAAAAAGGAAAAAAGGUGGGAAGACUGAGAACUCACCUAUUGAUUCAGACCAAAACCCAAUUCAGCUUUUCCAGAAGACAAGAGUCUGCGUCAUAGAUUGAGUGUUGCUGCAGUAAUGUGAAGCAAGCCUACUGUCACCUUCUCAUAGAAAAUUGGAUAUCUUUCCUGACUGCCUGUUGUGGACUGAAUUGAGUCCACUUCAAAAUUCAUAUGUUAAAGCCCUAACCCCCAAUGUCACUGUUAAGGAGGAAAUUAAGGUUAAAUGAGGUCAUAUGGGUGGGAACCUUAAUUCAAUAAGACUGGUGUCCUUAUCAGAAGAAACACACCAAGGAUGCAUACUCACAGAAAAAAGCCCUCAUGAGGACAUAGAGAGAAGAUGGUCAUCAGCAAGGCAAGGAGAGAGGCAUCAAGAGAAACCAAACCUGCAGACACUUUGAUCUUAGACUUCCAGCCUCCAUACUGUGAGAUAAAUUUCUGUUAUUUAAGUCACAUAGUCUGUGGUAUUUUGUUAUGGCAACCCUAGCAAACUACUACACAGCCUUUUCAUGAGUUAUUGUUUUGUUUUGUUUUGUUUUUGCCUAAAAUCUAGAUCCUGCACAACCAUUUCAUGACUUUUGAUUUCAGGGUUAAUACUUUGUAUUGUCUUGGCGUUAAUACUUAUGUAUCAAAUUUUUCUGGGACCUAUUUUUUUCUUUCAAUUGACAAAUGCAAUUACUUUUAUUUUCAGAAAAGUUGCCUUCUAUGUUAUCUUGAAAUAUUUUUGUCCUUUUUCUCAAUGUAAAAAUAAUAUGCAGCCCUAAAAAAGAAUGAAAUUAUGUCCUAUGCAGCAACAUGGAUGCAGCUGGAGGCCAUUAUCCUAAGUGAAUUAAUGCGGAAACAGAAAAGCAAAUACCACAUGUAUUUGUGGAUGUGGUAUCCACAUCCACUUAUAAGUGGAUGCUAAACCUUGGGUACUCACAGACAUAAAGAUGGCAACAAUAGACACUGGGGACUACUAGAACAGGGAGGGAGGGAGGGAGGGGGGCAAAGGUUGAAAAACUAUCAAGUACUAUGCUUACCACCUGAAGGAUGGGAUCAUUUCUACCCCAAACCUCAGCAUCACACAUUAUACCCACAUAACAAACCUGCACAUGUACCCUCCAAAUCUAAAAUAAAAGGUGAAAAUAUUUUAAAAAAUUACAUCUACAAGGGAUCGCCUUUGUCUGCUUCCAGUGAUGUUAUCUCAAAUACUUCCUAAUGACACACUUUUUUAUUCUUACAGAUCUUUUUUUGUUUGUUUGUUUCAUCUUAUAUGUGUGCUUCAACAGGUGCAUCCUUUCUGACUUAGCAUCAGGGUGAUGGUAAGAUCUGUAUUUGAGGUUAGGCUAUGAGGACUCCUUUUUAGACCCUGAGCCUACAGCAGAUGCUACAAAUGCUACAAAUGCUACAAACCAGCUUUGUAGCCUAGAAGAACAUAAGCCUCCCAAAAGAAACACUUUGCGUGUAUAGGUCCCACAAAAAAAUCAUGAAUGAGGGAUCAUUAAUAGUGAGUUUUCUAUCCAGACAAUAUCUCAUAGGGUCUAAUUCACAGUAUUGUUUUAUGUCCAACAUAUUGGUUGCUAGUAACACAGAAAAAUGCUUUAUAAGAGAUUUUUAGAAACACAUUAUGUCAAUGAUUAAUGCCAAUAAUUUCUACUUUAUCAACAAUUAUCCAAAU
Molecule: long non-coding RNA, 2220 nt
Filed under: Homo sapiens (human)
Lineage: Eukaryota; Metazoa; Chordata; Mammalia; Primates; Hominidae
Description: HSALNT0061921
Source: RNAcentral